UACAUCACCUAUACAUGCUGCUCUGUACAUCACCUAUACAUGCUACUCUGUACAUCACCUAUACAUGCUGCUCUGUACAUCACCUAUACAUGCUGUUCUGUACAUCACCAAUACAUGCUGCUCUGUACAUCACCUAUACAUGCUGCUCUAUACACCACCUAUACAUCACCUAUACAUGCUGCUCUGUACAUCACCUAUACAUGCUACUCUGUACAUCACCUAUACAUCACCUAUACAUGCUACUCUGUACAUCACCUAUACAUCACCUAUACAUGCUGCUCUAUACAUCACCUAUACAUGCUGCUCUGUACAUCACCUAUACAUGCUGCUCUGUACAUCACCUGUACAUGCUGUUCUGUACAUCACCAAUACAUGCUGCUCUGUACAUCACCUAUACAUGCUGCUCUAUACAUCACCUAUACAUCACCUAUACAUGCUGCUCUGUACAUCACCUAUACAUGCUGCUCUGUACAUCACCUAUACAUCACCUAUACAUGCUGCUCUGUACAUCACCUAUACAUGCUGCUCUGUACAUCACCUAUACAUGCUGCUCUGUACAUCACCUAUACAUGCUACUCUGUACAUCACCUAUACAUGCUGCUCUGUACAUCACCUAUACAUCAGCUAUACAUGCUGCUCUGUACAUCACCAAUACAUGCUGCUCUGUACAUCACCUAUACAUGCUGCUCUAUACAUCACCUAUACAUCACCUAUACAUGCUGCUCUGUACAUCACCUAUACAUGCUACUCUGUACAUCACCUAUACAUCACCUAUACAUGCUACUCUGUACAUCACCUAUACAUCACCUAUACAUGCUGCUCUGUACAUCACCUAUACAUCACCCAUACAUGCUGCUCUGUACAUCACCUAUACAUGCUGCUCUGUACAUCACCUAUACAUGCUGCUCUGUACAUCACCUAUACAUGCUGCUCUAUACAUCACCUAUACAUCACCUAUACAUGCUGCUCUGUACAUCACCUAUACAUGCUGCUCUGUACAUCACCUAUACAUGCUGCUCUGUACAUCACCUAUACAUGCUACUCUGUACAUCACCUAUACAUGCUGCUCUGUACAUCACCUAUACAUGCUGCUCUGUACAUCACCUAUACAUGCUGCUCUGUACAUCACCUAUACAUGCUGCUCUGUACAUCACCUAUACAUGCUGCUCUGUACAUCACCAAUACAUGCUGCUCUGUACAUCACCUAUACAUCACCUAUACAUGCUGCUCUGUACAUCACCUAUACAUGCUACUCUGUACAUCACCUAUACAUCCUACUCUGUACAUCACCUAUACAUCACCUAUACAUGCUACUCUGUACAUCACCUAUACAUCACCUAUACAUGCUGCUCUAUACAUCACCUAUACAUCACCUAUACAUGCUACUCUGUACAUCACCUAUACAUCACCUAUACAUGCUGCUCUGUACAUCACCUAUACAUGCUGCUCUGUACAUCACCUAUACAUGCUGCUCUGUACAUCACCUAUACAUGCUGCUCUGUACAUCACCUAUACAUGCUGCUCUAUACAUCACCUAUACAUGCUGCUCUGUACAUCACCUAUACAUGCUGCUCUAUACAUCACCUAUACAUGCUGCUCUGUACAUCACCUAUACAUGCUGCUCUGUACAUCACCUAUACAUGCUGCUCUAUACAUCACCUAUACAUCACCUAUACAUGCUGCUCUGUACAUCACCAAUACAUGCUGCUCUGUACAUCACCUAUACAUGCUACUCUGUACAUCACCUAUACAUGCUACUCUGUACAUCACCUAUACAUGCUACUCUGUACAUCACCUAUACAUGCUGCUCUGUACAUCACCUAUACAUGCUGCUCUGUACAUCACCUAUACAUGCUGCUCUGUACAUCACCUAUACAUGCUGCUCUGUACAUCACCUAUACAUCACCUAUACAUGCUGCUCUAUACAUCACCAAUACAUCACCUAUACAUGCUGCUCUGUACAUAACCAAUACAUGCUGCUCUGUACAUCACCUAUACAUGCUACUCUGUACAUCACCUAUACAUGCUACUCUGUACAUCAUCUAUACAUGCUGCUCUGUACAUCACCUAUACAUCACCUAUACAUGCUGCUCUGUACAUCACCUAUACAUCACCUAUACAUGCUGCUCUGUACAUCACCUAUACAUCACCUAUACAUGCUACUCUGUACAUCACCUAUACAUGCUACUCUGUACAUCACCUAUACAUGCUACUCUGUACAUCACCUAUACAUGCUGCUCUGUACAUCACCUAUACAUGCUGCUCUGUACAUCACCUAUACAUGCUGCUCUGUACAUCACCUAUACAUGCUGCUCUGUACAUCACCUAUACAUCACCUAUACAUGCUGCUCUAUACAUCACCAAUACAUCACCUAUACAUGCUGCUCUGUACAUCACCAAUACAUGCUGCUCUGUACAUCACCUAUACAUGCUACUCUGUACAUCACCUAUACAUGCUACUCUGUACAUCAUCUAUACAUGCUGCUCUGUACAUCACCUAUACAUCACCUAUACAUGCUGCUCUGUACAUCACCUAUACAUCACCUAUACAUGCUGCUCUGUACAUCACCUAUACAUCACCUAUACAUGCUGCUCUGUACAUCACCUAUACAUGCUGCUCUGUACAUCACCUAUACAUGCUACUCUGCACAUCACCUAUACAUGCUGCUCUGUACAUCACCUAUACAUCACCUAUACAUGCUGCUCUGCACAUCACCUAUACAUGCUGCUCUGUACAUCACCUAUACAUGCUGCUCUGUACAUCACCUAUACAUGCUACUCUGUACAUCACCUAUACAUGCUGCUCUGUACAUCACCUAUACAUGCUGCUCUGUACAUCACCAAUACAUCACCUAUACAUGCUGCUCUGUACAUCACCUAUACAUGCUGCUCUGUACAUCACCUAUACAUGCUGCUCUGUACAUCACCUAUACAUGCUACUCUGUACAUCACCUAUACAUGCUGCUCUGUACAUCACCUAUACAUGCUGUUCUGUACAUCACCAAUACAUGCUGCUCUGUACAUCACCUAUACAUGCUGCUCUAUACACCACCUAUACAUCACCUAUACAUGCUGCUCUGUACAUCACCUAUACAUGCUACUCUGUACAUCACCUAUACAUCACCUAUACAUGCUGCUCU
Oncorhynchus mykiss (rainbow trout) is the source of this 3140-nucleotide long non-coding RNA. Lineage: Eukaryota; Metazoa; Chordata; Actinopteri; Salmoniformes; Salmonidae. The record is from Ensembl.